GACGAACGCUGGCGGCGUGCCUAAUACAUGCAAGUCGAGCGAAGUUUUUCUGGUGCUUGCACUAGAAAAACUUAGCGGCGAACGGGUGAGUAACACGUAAAGAACCUGCCUCAUAGACUGGGACAACUAUUGGAAACGAUAGCUAAUACCGGAUAACGGCAUUAACUGCAUGGUUGAUGUUUAAAAGUUGGUUUUGCUAACACUAUGAGAUGGCUUUGCGGUGCAUUAGCUAGUUGGUGGGGUAAAGGCCUACCAAGGCGACGAUGCAUAGCCGACCUGAGAGGGUGAUCGGCCACACUGGGACUGAGACACGGCCCAGACUCCUACGGGAGGCAGCAGUAGGGAAUCUUCCGCAAUGGGCGAAAGCCUGACGGAGCAACGCCGCGUGAGUGAAGAAGGAUUUCGGUUCGUAAAGCUCUGUUGUUAGGGAAGAAUGAUUGUGUAGUAACUAUACACAGUAGAGACGGUACCUAACCAGAAAGCCACGGCUAACUACGUG
RNAcentral lists this ribosomal RNA (499 nucleotides) under uncultured bacterium. Its description in RNAcentral is "partial 16S ribosomal RNA". It matches the Rfam family "Bacterial small subunit ribosomal RNA", at positions 28 to 507 of the family's 1533-position model. The record is from RNAcentral.